UUGGAGCAGCAGGCCGUACCUCUCGGCUCUUGGACGUCGCGUUUUCUGAUGAACUUUACCUGUAAUUUUGUCGAUAUUCUUACCCAGCCCAGUCUUGUGCAUCCAAAAAUAUUUCGACAAUAAACUGUUGCACAUUUGGAACAAAUUUGGCCGAGACUUUUGUAGGCUACCAAGACAAAUGGUCAUGCAACUUAAGCAUUAUUUUGUCACUGGGUCUGGUUGGACAGACAGUUUUUACUAAAAACUACAGUCUUCAAUAAGCCACAACGUUAUUAGAAUCAGACUUCCGACCACAGACUUUGAAAGCAAACUGACUUUAUGAACUUCUUUGUUUGUGUGUGUGGCUGGGGGCUUCGCUGAAAUGCCGUAGACUGCAGUGAAAAACUUCACAACCAAAGCUGAACAUAUCGAAUCAACGACAUCUUGUUGAGUUCAGAGACGGCAAAUGACAUGUAGCUGUAAGCAAUGGAUAGAGACUGGGGCAACUCACAACAGACCCAGUGAACUUUCGUCCAGACAAUCUUAAAGAAACAUUGAUGGGACUGGUUGUGCUGAUAACUCUCGAGAGAAUGUGACCUGAAGAUGGCUGUUGAAGAUCUUGACCUGGAAGACAUGGAUGUACAUCGGAGGUCAUUAAAGGGCUAAGAUGGCUGUUGAAGAUCUAUGGAUGUGGUAUGGGAGUUGAAGAUCUAUGGAUAUGUGGUUUGUGGACGUACAUUGGAGAUCACCAAAGGACCAAGGUAAAAACAGCUGUGCAAUCCGACCUCCACUGGUUUUAAGUUCAUUUUUGCGAUACACCCCGUUAUUACAUUUUGGACUUUUUCCCUCUAAUUAUUUUUUUUUUAAAUAUCUUAAUUGGCAGCAAAUGCAAUCUAGUCACUUUUAUGGAGACACCAUGUACUACUAAAAAAUGAGAAGAAAAUCCUUUAUUAUGCACUUUUACUGUAAGUACAUGUCUCUAGAAGACGAUCAGAGCAUACUGACCGAAACGUCGAGUUGAAACCAACGGUUCUUUUCA
Long non-coding RNA from Asterias rubens (European starfish), 1018 nucleotides. RefSeq lists it as uncharacterized. The transcript is spliced from 3 exons. Lineage: Eukaryota; Metazoa; Echinodermata; Asteroidea; Forcipulatida; Asteriidae. The record is from RefSeq and is a predicted model, not a curated record.